Molecule: long non-coding RNA, 1539 nt
Organism: Tupaia belangeri chinensis (Chinese tree shrew)
Lineage: Eukaryota; Metazoa; Chordata; Mammalia; Scandentia; Tupaiidae
Exons: 2
Source: RefSeq, a predicted model, not a curated record
UCGGUCCGGGACUUCAACCGUGGUUGGCCAUGUGGGGACCUGGUACAUUAACCACCAUGCUACUUCUUGGCCCCCAUAGUUUUCGUAUUUUAUUGUUUGUAUUUUAAACUUUAUUUUUCCUUCCACGAGUGAGAGAGAGGAGCAAGAGAGAGCACCCCCAGUCAGCCCUGGCGCCAGUCCACCCCACCCCUCACCCUGCCCUCGCUCUCGGCCAAGUCAAGGGGAAGCCUGGCGCAUCGGGGGUCUCCCGUGAACCGAGAGCCUUCGUGGAUUGCUUUGCCGAGUGUGAGGCUUUAACUGCCGUGCCACUGUCCAGCCCUGCGUCUUGUCGUAGCCGUUUGCUUCCUCACGUCCGACCUGCCUGGCAACGCGCUGGGGCCGGGCGGCGCUGCCCCAUGCCUCUGCAUUAGCCACGGGAAGGUGUGACCUGGACCGCAGAGGUGAACCCGGGACGUCCGUAUCUGCUGACUCCAUGCAGGCGCAGCUGCAGCUUCGUGCAUUUGAAUCCUUCGGGCCCCGAGUUCCCGUCCCUAGUCAGAGUGUGUGUUUUGGGAAACUGUGUUGCACUCAGGAGAUAAAGCCUCGGGACGCUUCAGACGCGCGGUGCCAGGUGUUGUCCACCGCGAUCUCGGCAGAAUAGGGGCGAUCGUGGAGUUGAGGGGAGGCCCUGGCAGCGUCUCACCCCACCCCCACAUGUUGCUGCCUGUUUGCUGCGUGUGUUUCCUGGUUGGUCACUAGAGACUCGGGCUGCAUGCUUUCGACGGCCUUUUCCACCUCCGAAAUUUCUAUCAUUUUUUUAAGCCUUUGAUUCAUACUUUGGCUUUGAGCUCUGAAGUCUUCCGGGUUCUGAAAUAAGAGGUCACUUUUGAAUCUCUUUUCCUUCUAAAACAUCAAGGCUGGUGAGACUAACCCCCGCUAGAGGGUGUCCCCGCAUGCAAAGGAACAUCCCACACUCCUCUGGGUGGUUUGACUGUAGAGCUUGAACAAUUUCUUCACUCAAACACAAGACUUUCUAGCUGGCUAGGGAAGGAACUUUCUGGGAAGGUGAGUACAGUCCCCCCAAAGGAGGUGCAGUGGCAGGCAGUAGCCAGGCCGGAGCUCGCAGGUCAGGCUUGGAGCAGGCUGCUGUGACGUCCCUGAUGCCGCAGAACCCACGUCAGAACUUGGUUCUCCACCGGGCCAGACCCCAGUUCCUGUCGCUGCAAAGGCCUGCCGGGUGAGUGUGGUGCAGGGCACUCUACAGAGCGGAGUGGAGCGCCCCACAGGCCAGUGGCGAGCGACAGACCUCCAUGGCCGGACCUGUGGCCCUGGGACAUCUGGUCUGUACCUGCAGUGCAUCUCGAGUGGCCGGACUGGCCUCCAGGCGCACCCGUCCUGUAGAGCCAGGGACGCUGGCCAGAGGGCAGCCGCUGCACACUGGCCCCUGGACAGGCUGGGAGCCCACCGGCCGGCCAUCCAUCUUCCCUGCGCUCACCCGCUCGCCCAGUCAAUAUGUCUCUCUCCGAUGGGAAAGUUAAUAAAUUUUGCUCUAGAUUAAAA